Molecule: ribosomal RNA, 253 nt
Filed under: uncultured bacterium
Lineage: Bacteria
Description: partial 16S ribosomal RNA
Rfam family: Bacterial small subunit ribosomal RNA
Source: RNAcentral
UACAUGUGGGGCAAGCGUUGUUCGGAAUUACUGGGCAUAAAGCGUGCGCAGGCGGUGAUGUAAGACAGGUGUGAAAUCCCCGGGCUUAACCUGGGAACUGCAUUUGUGACUGCAUCGCUGGAGUGCGGCAGAGGGGGAUGGAAUUCCGCGUGUAGCAGUGAAAUGCGUAGAUAUGCGGAGGAACACCGAUGGCGAAGGCAAUCCCCUGGGCCUGCACUGACGCUCAUGCACGAAAGCGUGGGGAGCAAACAGG